This 253-nucleotide ribosomal RNA is filed under the name uncultured bacterium. Its description in RNAcentral is "partial 16S ribosomal RNA". It matches the Rfam family "Bacterial small subunit ribosomal RNA", at positions 524 to 776 of the family's 1533-position model. The record is from RNAcentral.
UACGUAGGGGGCAAGCGUUGUCCGGAAUCAUUGGGCGUAAAGAGCGUGUAGGCGGCUCGGUAAGUCCGCUCUGAAAGCCCGGGGCUCAACCCCGGGAGGCGGGCGGAUACUGUCGGGCUAGAGUCCGGAAGAGGCGAGUGGAAUUCCUGGUGUAGCGGUGAAAUGCGCAGAUAUCAGGAGGAACACCACUGGCGAAGGCAGCUCGCUGGGACGGUACUGACGCUGAGACGCGAAAGCGUGGGGAGCAAACAGG